This 255-nucleotide ribosomal RNA is filed under the name uncultured bacterium. Its description in RNAcentral is "partial 16S ribosomal RNA". It matches the Rfam family "Bacterial small subunit ribosomal RNA", at positions 526 to 779 of the family's 1533-position model. The record is from RNAcentral.
CAGAGGGUGCAAGCGUUAAAUCGGAUUUACUGGGCGUAAAGCGCGCGUAGGUGGCUAAUUAAGUCAAAUGUGAAAUCCCCGAGCUUAACUUGGGAAUUGCAUUCGAUACUGGUUAGCUAGAGUAUGGGAGAGGAUGGUAGAAUUCCAGGUGUAGCGGUGAAAUGCGUAGAGAUCUGGAGGAAUACCGAUGGCGAAGGCAGCCAUCUGGCCUAAUACUGACACUGAGGUGCGAAAGCAUGGGGAGCAAACAGGAUU